Molecule: ribosomal RNA, 447 nt
Filed under: Triticum aestivum (bread wheat)
Lineage: Eukaryota; Viridiplantae; Streptophyta; Magnoliopsida; Poales; Poaceae
Description: partial small subunit ribosomal RNA
Source: RNAcentral
AUGGAUCGCCGGGCGGCGACAUCCUCCAGCUCCUUCUUCAAUUCCUCACAACUUUGCUUGAAAGCAGCAGAUUCCUACACCUCCUGCUCACGCUCGAUCCGGAGCUUCCUCAAGUCACCCAUCAGUUCCUCGACGACCGCUGUCAGCAUCAUCCCCAAGGCACUGCUCUGCUCAUGCAGCAUCUUCCAGCCGGUGGCCUCCUCCUCCUUCUUGGCGAGUGCCUUAGAGCUUCGCAUUGUCACCCAUGAGUUGCUCGACGAGGCUGGUCGCCUUGUCUACCGAGGCAUCGCUCAUCUCGAGCAGCUUCAUCAAGCCGUCGACCAGCUCCUGCUGCUUAAUGAGGCCAGUGAAAAUGUCGUCGUCGCCGGCCAAGGACUUCAGCUACGCCAGCUCGUCGCGAUCGCCGACGCGGCGAGUGCGCUUGUGAGAGCCCUCGCGUGCCCGUGA